This 77-nucleotide transfer RNA is filed under the name Bacillus pseudomycoides. RNAcentral's name for it is "tRNA-Met". It matches the Rfam family "tRNA". From Rfam's summary of the family: Transfer RNA (tRNA) molecules are approximately 80 nucleotides in length. Their secondary structure includes four short double-helical elements and three loops (D, anti-codon, and T loops). The record is from RNAcentral. Lineage: Bacteria; Bacillati; Bacillota; Bacilli; Caryophanales; Bacillaceae.
CGCGGGGUGGAGCAGUUCGGUAGCUCGUGGGGCUCAUAACCCGAAGGUCGGAGGUUCAAAUCCUGUCCCCGCAACCA